Molecule: long non-coding RNA, 252 nt
Filed under: Lathyrus oleraceus (garden pea)
Lineage: Eukaryota; Viridiplantae; Streptophyta; Magnoliopsida; Fabales; Fabaceae
Description: Pisum sativum (pea) long non-coding RNA (PSAT_LNC015901)
Source: RNAcentral
UGAGUUCGAUUCCUGGCAAUGUGUGUUUUCUGAUUUAAUUUUUGAUCUUCUCAUUUACCUGCCAUGUAUGAGUUCGACUCCAGGCAUUAGCAUGUUUCUGAUUUGUUUUUUAGCGCUUUGCCAACCUUGUGAGCGUGGGUUCGAAUCCUGUUGAUAUGCAUUUUGCUGAUUUUCAUUUGAAUUUUCGUUUUCCCUCCUAUUUUCAUACAUGAUCUAUUUUAUUUUCUUCACUUUCAAAAAAUCAUAAAAAAU